Molecule: ribosomal RNA, 453 nt
Filed under: Bacillus sp. R-31018
Lineage: Bacteria; Bacillati; Bacillota; Bacilli; Caryophanales; Bacillaceae
Description: bacterial SSU rRNA
Rfam family: Bacterial small subunit ribosomal RNA
Source: RNAcentral
ACGCUGGCGGCGUGCCUAAUACAUGCAAGUCGAGCGGACAGAAGGGAGCUUGCUCCCGGAUGUUAGCGGCGGACGGGUGAGUAACACGUGGGUAACCUGCCUGUAAGACUGGGAUAACUCCGGGAAACCGGAGCUAAUACCGGAUAGUUCCUUGAACCGCAUGGUUCAAGGAUGAAAGACGGUUUCGGCUGUCACUUACAGAUGGACCCGCGGCGCAUUAGCUAGUUGGUGAGGUAACGGCUCACCAAGGCGACGAUGCGUAGCCGACCUGAGAGGGUGAUCGGCCACACUGGGACUGAGACACGGCCCAGACUCCUACGGGAGGCAGCAGUAGGGAAUCUUCCGCAAUGGACGAAAGUCUGACGGAGCAACGCCGCGUGAGUGAUGAAGGUUUUCGGAUCGUAAAGCUCUGUUGUUAGGGAAGAACAAGUGCAAGAGUAACUGCUUGCACCU